UCUCUGCUCCUGGCUGCUCCCUGCUCCAUCCUGCCCACAGUGCAGAGUCCCAGCCCAUGCCAGGCUCUGGCAGUCCCUCAGGUGCUUCUGCUGUCUGCUUCUGUGACCUGCUGGGGCCAAGCCAUGGUCCACUUUGACCGGAUUCAACAAUUCACCGGGAAUUCCUGCUUUGUUCAGCAAACAGACUGUGAGCCUCUGCUCCAUGCCAGCCACAAUGCUGGGCUCUGGGACACAGCUGCAAACACACUGCAGGUGGCCUCUGCCCUUUGGGUCCCCAAGUCCAAUGGGAGGAGAGACACUCGCCGCACAAAUGCAGGGGCCCUUUCUCAGCUGCAGGCGUGCUUUCCGUGGUUACACUCACUGUGGUGCUCUACAGCAAGCAUUGUGAGAGAGACAGAGAGACAGAUCACAGCCACGUGACUCUGAGGACAGUAUGCCGUUCUGAUCAUUGUACUUUAUUACUGGUUACCACUGCUCAUCUGUUACGGCACCUGAUUCCUGGCUGCACUUUGCCCUCAGCAGGGAGACUUCACAGUAUGUAUAUGUAGGCAUGCGUGCCUCACAGGCAUGGGUAGCAGAAAGCACAGCAUACGUGGGGUGGGUACCAUUCCAGGUUUCAGGCAAACACUGCGGGUCUUGGGACGCAUCCCCUGCAGGGAAGGGGGGACUCCUGGACACAGAUAUUCAUGUCAUUUUCAAUGGUGCCAACAAAAGAGAAUGGAUUCCACAAUCAAGAAAGAGGGAGUGUGUUUAAUUUGGACUAGGGUGGAUGGUGGAGACCUCCCAAGGGAAAGAGAAGGCCCUCACCAGGGACACUGCUGAGUGCUGUCAUGAGAAGCCAGGUCCAGGCUGAACGGGGUGAGAACGCACAGCAGAGCCAGGAUGGGACGCACCACGCUGGGCGGCCCCAGGACCUCUCCCUCCGAGCAGUGACCAGGAGCAGUGACUUCCAGAUGGGCGUUCACCGUUCUCUAAAGUCCGGUAUAAAUGCCGCGGGGAAACGGGGCAGGGCAUGGAAAGGAAGAUGCCAAAGGGGAGGGCAGAGCGCCGGCCACUUGCCUCUUUCCAGCUUGGCGCGCGGCCGUGUGAGCGCAGCCGCUUGGCGCCCCUCGGUCCUGGGGCUCUUCCAUAACUCGUGCUCGGUGUGAGGAUGAACACCUGGCGUCAGCGGUUCCGAGGAUGGCCUUGGGGCUGGGAAAGUGCACGUUUUGGAGACUUUUCUGAAUUUUCCUUAGACACGAAGUCAUUAUCUAAUAGUGAUUAUUCCGUGUUUUGCUAUUUUACUGCUUUAUUUUUUUGUCUUAUAUGCGCUAGGAUUCCAGAACAUUCCCAGGAUCGGCCCUGAGCAUGCAUGGCUUAUUUCUGAGUUUAUAGAAAACCUCCGGUAAUUCCCACACAUUAAAUAUCAUGCUGUUUGUUGGUAUAAAACAUCAUUUCUUUACCAAAGACCCGCCUAUUCCUAGUUUCCUAGAACUUCCUUAUCAGUCAUUGCAUCCAUUCAGAAUGUUUUCAGUUGCACAGAACAGAAUGUCCAACAAUUCCUUAAACACAUUGAAGCUUAUUUUUAUACAUAAUAAAUCAACAGGCAGAAAGCUGCUGGCUUUCCAGUGACUCAGUGACAUCAGACCAGCAUGUCUAUGGCUCUCUUGCCCUUGCCUCAUGCUCAGAAGGUGGCUCUCCAAACACCAUCUGCAUGCAAGGCAACAGGCAGGGGAGGGGGCAGAGCCAGCAGCAUCUACAGCUUCAGUUUGGACAGAACAAUCCCCCUCACAGAGCUGAGGCUCUAGUCGGGAAAAACAUUGAGCAACUACUUAUGUGUGGCUGGGCGCGGUGCUCACGCCUGUAAUCCCAGCACUUUGGGAGGCCAAGGCAGGUAGAUCACCUGAGGUCAGGAGUUCGAGACCAGCCCGGUCAAUCUGGUGAAACCCUAUCUCUACUGAAAAAUAAAAAUACAAAAAUUAGCCAGGUGUGGUUGUGGGCACCUGUAAUCCCAGCUAUUCAGGAGGCUGAGACAGGAAGAAUUGCUUGGUGGAGUUUCCAGUGAGCCAAGAUUGCACCAGCGCACUCCAGCUUGGGUGGCAGAGUGAGACUCCAUCUCAAAAAAAAAAAUAUGCACACUGAACACACACUCACUGUCUCCCUCAUCCCAUAACCCCUCCACAAGGUUCCUACUCACACCGUGGCCUCUGUUUCUCUCAUGCUUCCGCCAUCCCCUGUGGAGACCAGACCCAGCCACCCUGCAGUGUUUGGGCCCCUCAGCUGCUCUCAAAGGCUGAGCCCCUCCGGGUGCCUCUGAGAUGAAGCUUCUCACGCCUGCGCCCUUCCUUUCCAUCCUCCUUCCUCCAGAGGCCUCUGCUGUGUCGUUGCUGGGUCUGUAGUUUCAUCAGAACCGUUUCUACAGUGUUUUCCUAGAUGAGGCACGUAGGUGGUGAACUCACUGAGUUCCUGCUCCUGACAUGUCCACAGUUAUCGUUAUUGGGAGCAGGGCUUCUGGGGCUGCAGUCCUCUGUUCUUCCGCUGUUUUCAGCUUGCAGUGUUGUCGAUGGGAAGCCUGAGACCAUUCUGAUUGCUUUGCUGUUUUAGGUAACAUAUUCCUUUUGCUUGAAAAAUGGUUGGCUACUUUUUCUCAGUGGAGAAAGCACAGCACUUAUAAUUUUCCAUUGAAAUGUAUUUAGCAAAGUUUGCAUGCCAUAAAAUGGAUCCAUUUUCAAAAGUCCAUGUUCUGACGUGUAUACAUCCAUGCAUUCAUUAAAGUUUCUAUCACUGACCCAGUCAA
Molecule: long non-coding RNA, 2776 nt
Organism: Callithrix jacchus (white-tufted-ear marmoset)
Lineage: Eukaryota; Metazoa; Chordata; Mammalia; Primates; Cebidae
Source: RefSeq, a predicted model, not a curated record